UGAGGAAUAUUGCGCAAUGGGCGAAAGCCUGACGCAGCGACGCCGCGUGGAGGAUGAAGGCCUUCGGGUUGUAAACUCCUGUCAGUGGGGAAGAGAAUGGACGGUACCCACUGAGGAAGCUUCGGCUAACUACGUGCCAGCAGCCGCGGUAAGACGUAGGGAGCAAGCGUUGUCCGGAAUUACUGGGCGUAAAGAGCUCGUAGGCGGGAUCGUAAGUCUGGUGUGAAAGCCCAGGGCUCAGCUCUGGAAGUGCACUAGAUACUGGGAAGCUUGAGUAUCGGAGGGGAGAGUGGAAUUCCUGGUGUAGCGGUGAAAUGCGUAGAUAUCAGGAGGAAUACCGGUGGCGAAAGCGACUCUCUGGACGAUUACUGACGCUGAGGCACGAAAGCGUGGGGAGCAAACAGGAUUAGAUACCCCGGUAGUCCCUGAGCGGGCUGGCAAGGCGCAU
This 448-nucleotide ribosomal RNA is filed under the name uncultured bacterium. Its description in RNAcentral is "bacterial SSU rRNA". It matches the Rfam family "Bacterial small subunit ribosomal RNA", at positions 355 to 825 of the family's 1533-position model. The record is from RNAcentral.